Molecule: non-coding RNA, 404 nt
Organism: Pelobates cultripes (western spadefoot toad)
Lineage: Eukaryota; Metazoa; Chordata; Amphibia; Anura; Pelobatidae
Source: the annotation of a GenBank genome assembly
GCAGAAAAUAGCAGAGCUUGUAAAACAGUACAGUUUGAGAAUGUUUACAGUUUAAUGCUAAAUAUGUGAUGUCCUUGUCAACCUUUACAAUAAAUUUGCAGUUUACUGAAUAAACCAACAAUGAUUUAAUACAACCAAGGAGGUACAUUCACUAAACAGUACAUUUAAAAUUCAGUUUGCAGAAUUAAAAGGAACACUCUAUACACCAUAACCACUGCAGCACUCUGAUGUAAGACGUCAAAACCGUUUGCUAAUCUUUUACCAGCUUAGUUGAGAUGGGCAUUUAGAGCAAUGCACAGAGUUUUCAUUAGUUCUACUGAGCUAAACCCUGACCUUUGCAGGGUCAGCUCAUUAGCAGAGAACAUCAACUGAUCACUCACAGCUAGUGAUGUCCCGCACGGUUU